AUUGAACGCUGGCGGCAUGCUUUACACAUGCAAGUCGAACGGCAGCACGGGGGCAACCCUGGUGGCGAGUGGCGAACGGGUGAGUAAUGCAUCGGAACGUGUCCUUAAGUGGGGAAUAACGCAUCGAAAGAUGUGCUAAUACCGCAUAAACUCUGAGGAGAAAAGCAGGGGAUCGCAAGGCCUUGCGCUAAAGGAGCGGCCGAUGUCUGAUUAGCUAGUUGGUGGGGUAAAGGCCUACCAAGGCGACGAUCAGUAGUUGGUCUGAGAGGACGACCAACCACACUGGGACUGAGACACGGCCCAGACUCCUACGGGAGGCAGCAGUGGGGAAUUUUGGACAAUGGGCGAAAGCCUGAUCCAGCCAUGCCGCGUGAGUGAAGAAGGC
RNAcentral lists this ribosomal RNA (385 nucleotides) under uncultured bacterium. Its description in RNAcentral is "bacterial SSU rRNA". It matches the Rfam family "Bacterial small subunit ribosomal RNA", at positions 29 to 415 of the family's 1533-position model. The record is from RNAcentral.